This 255-nucleotide ribosomal RNA is filed under the name uncultured bacterium. RNAcentral's name for it is "partial 16S ribosomal RNA". It matches the Rfam family "Bacterial small subunit ribosomal RNA", at positions 57 to 305 of the family's 1533-position model. The record is from RNAcentral.
GCAAGUCGAACGAGAACGGGAUAUAGCUUGCUAUAACUGUCUGCUAAGCGGCGCACGGGUGAGUAAUAUAUAGUUAACCUGCCCCAAAGAAGAGAAUAAUUGUUGGAAACGACUUGUAAUGCUCUAUAUGCCUCUAUUACAUAAGUAAGCGAGGGAAACAUUUAUGGCUGUGGGAUGGGACUGUACGGUAUCAGCUUGUUGGUGAGGUAAUGGCUCACCAAGGCUAUGACGCCUAACUGGUUUGAGAGGAUGAUC